GAUGAACGCUAGCGGCAGGCCUAAUACAUGCAAGUCGAACGGAUAUAUGUUUUUCGGAAUAUAUAUUAGUGGCGCACGGGUGAGUAACACGUACAUAACUUGCCCUCAAGCGGGGGAUAGCCUUGGGAAACUGAGAGUAAUACCCCAUAGAAUUAUUGGACGGCAUCGUUUGAUAAUUAAAACUACGGUGCUUGGGGAUAGAUGUGCGUCUGAUUAGCUAGUUGGUGGGGUAACGGCCUACCAAGGCGACGAUCGGUAGCUGGUCUGAGAGGACGACCAGCCACACUGGGACUGAGACACGGCCCAGACUCCUACGGGAGGCAGCAGUGGGGAAUUUUGGACAAUGGGCGAAAGCCUGAUCCAGCGAUGCCGCGUGGGUGAAGAAGGCCUGCGGGUUGUAAAGCCCUUUCGAUGGGGAAGAAAAGCCUGGAGCUAAUACCUCCGGGUCUUGACGUUACCCAGAGAAGAAGCACCGGCUAACUCCGUGCCAGCAGACGCGGUAAAGUAGU
This 509-nucleotide ribosomal RNA is filed under the name uncultured bacterium. RNAcentral describes it as "bacterial SSU rRNA". It matches the Rfam family "Bacterial small subunit ribosomal RNA", at positions 28 to 529 of the family's 1533-position model. The record is from RNAcentral.